Long non-coding RNA from Glycine soja, 1566 nucleotides. RefSeq lists it as uncharacterized. The record is from RefSeq and is a predicted model, not a curated record. NCBI's taxonomy places the organism in Eukaryota, Viridiplantae, Streptophyta, Magnoliopsida, Fabales, Fabaceae. The transcript has 4 exons.
ACAACUCCUCUUUUGUUUUUCAUUCUAAAAUUCUAAAUUUUUGUUCCUCUUUUGUUCUUCUUCUUCGGUGUUGGCGCGCGGCGGCCAGAGCGAAGGAGAUCAAGAGGUUCCUCAUUCUCGCUGAGGAGGAGUCCGUUAGGGCCGAGACAAAGUUGGAGGCUUCGUACUACCAGCAAUACGGAGUCGUUUUGGCACCGCCGAAGAACAAAGUAUCUGUCGUGUGUUACUCUCCCACCACCACGCGCUACACCAAGUGCAAAGCGGAUCUAGAUCCAGUGGUGGUAAAGUUAGAUUUCAAAACUUUGUUAUGAUGAUAACCAUGGUCAGUGUUUUGGAUGUUUCAAUGGUCAUGAAAGCUUUUCAAACAAUCCUAAGCUGAACAAUGUUGUUGGCCACUUGCUGCAUUCUUCAAUUCUAGCACAAUAUCAUGGAUGGAGAAUUAGUCAUAGGACACAUCAUCAAAACCAUGGCCAUGUUGAAAACGAUGAAUCUUGGCACCGGAUGAGUUGAUUUUCUUUGUUCUGUUUCUUGUGGAAACUUUGCUUUUGUCUCCAACAUUUUGUAUCUAUCAAGGGGUCUAAUUCAAAAUGUUUAAUGUGAAUCUAUUCCAUUCCCUUGAUAAUCAUCUGCCUCUAAUUUGAUUUAAUUGAUCACAAUAUUCGAUAUUUGGAAUGCAACAUUUCAGCGAAGAGGAUAAAAGGGAAUAUACUCUGGAUGAAGAAGAAAUGGAGACUCAAAAUGUGAUAUUAAAGACUAGUCGAUCUAAGAAGGAUGCAUGUAUAUUGGAGAAGUCCUUAUCUCAUAGGUAUCCAGAUUUGGUGUUCCACGAGGCCCUCAAAGAGGAGAAAGAAAAACUGCAUGUUGAAAUACGUAGAUCAAGAACCAAUAAUGACCCGGAACAAUGCAGGGUAAUUGAGCAUCUUAUUGAAGUCACAAAAAAUGUUGUCAACAUGUCACCUAACAAAAAGGUUACAAAAAUUGUUUUCAAUGAACCAACUGAUUUAAUUGCAAGGCAUAUAACUGAUAAUGCAAUAGGCUCUGAGGACCUUGAGUUGGAAUCUGCAUAUAAAAGUCAAUCAGAAUGGAAGACUGAUCUCUUUGGUUUCUGUAGGGAUCCUUGCUUAUGUAAAUUUAACCCCAUCUUGUAUAGAUUCUAUUUCAAAAAAUGGUAAAUGAUAAACUUGUUAUGUGGUAGCUUGCAAGUUGCAAUUCAACAAUCAAUGCCUCUAUUUUUUAAUUUCAUGUCUAGUAAAACUUUUCCUACUAAGACAGUUGGUAGAUGAUAGUUGCAUUUGCAAGACCUCAAUAAAUAAAGGUGCUUGGUUCAUCCAAAAAGGCAUUGGAGCAAGAAGCAAUAAAUAGUAGAGCUUCAAACAAAGUGAGUGAGAAAAAAAUUAGGUUUUGUGAAGGAACUCUAUAGUGUAGUAUAGGUGGUACACUUGGAAUUUAGGGUACUCUUUAGUUUUCUCUAAAUUAGGAAACACUAUAUCUCAUGUCUCCUGUAAUAGAAUGUUAAAAGAAGACAACUAAUUAUCUUUAUAAUAGUAGAGUAAUUUUUAGAGAUUU